Molecule: ribosomal RNA, 489 nt
Filed under: uncultured bacterium
Lineage: Bacteria
Description: partial 16S ribosomal RNA
Rfam family: Bacterial small subunit ribosomal RNA
Source: RNAcentral
GCCGCCCCCUUUCUUCGUGCUUAACACAUGCAAGUCGAACGGUGAAGGGACCAGCUUGCUGGUUCUGGAUGAGUGGCGAACGGGUGAGUAACACGUGAGUAACCUGCCCCCUUCUUCUGGAUAACCGCAUGAAAGUGUGGCUAAUACGGGAUAUUCUGGGUCUGUCGCAUGGCGGGCCCGGGAAAGAUAUUGCUUCGGUGGGGGAUGGGCUCGCGGCCUAUCAGCUUGUUGGUGGGGUGAUGGCCUACCAAGGCGGUGACGGGUAGCCGGCCUGAGAGGGUGGACGGUCACACUGGGACUGAGACACGGCCCAGACUCCUACGGGAGGCAGCAGUGGGGAAUAUUGCACAAUGGGCGCAAGCCUGAUGCAGCGACGCCGCGUGAGGUAGGGAGGCCUUCGGGUUGUAAACCUCUUUCGCCAGUGAAGCAGGCCUGCUCCUUGUGGGUGGGUUGACGGUAGCUGGAUAAGAAGCGCCGGCUAACUACGUG